This 116-nucleotide ribosomal RNA is filed under the name Lepisosteus oculatus (spotted gar). The record is from RNAcentral. Lineage: Eukaryota; Metazoa; Chordata; Actinopteri; Semionotiformes; Lepisosteidae.
CAAAACAGCCAUAUCACCCUGCAACUCACAACUGGCAACCCACUGAAGCUCAGCAGGUAUGAGCCUGGUCAGUAUGUGGAUGGGAGACCUCCUGGGAAAGCUAAGGUUGCAGCUGG